GAUGAACGCUAGCGGCAGGCUUAAUACAUGCAAGUCGAGGGGCAGCGCGGGUAGCAAUACCUGGCGGCGACCGGCGCACGGGUGCGUAACACGUGUGCAACCUACCUUUAACUGGAGAAUAGCCCCGGGAAAUCGGGAUUAAUGCUCCAUAAAAUUAUUGAAUGGCAUCAUUUAGUAAUUAAAGCUCCGGCGGUUUUAGAUGGGCACGCGCGACAUUAGCUAGUUGGUGAGGUAACGGCUCACCAAGGCAUCGAUGUCUAGGGGUUCUGAGAGGAUUACCCCCCACACUGGUACUGAGACACGGACCAGACUCCUACGGGAGGCAGCAGUAAGGAAUAUUGGGCAAUGGACGCAAGUCUGACCCAGCCAUGCCGCGUGAAGGAUGACAGCCCUAUGGGUUGUAAACUUCUUUUGUACGGGAAAAAACUCCAGUUCGUGAACUGGACUGAUUGUACCGUAAGAAUAAGGAUCGGCUAACUCCGUG
Molecule: ribosomal RNA, 484 nt
Filed under: uncultured bacterium
Lineage: Bacteria
Description: bacterial SSU rRNA
Rfam family: Bacterial small subunit ribosomal RNA
Source: RNAcentral